Long non-coding RNA from Plodia interpunctella (Indianmeal moth), 634 nucleotides. RefSeq lists it as uncharacterized. The record is from RefSeq and is a predicted model, not a curated record. The transcript has 2 exons. NCBI's taxonomy places the organism in Eukaryota, Metazoa, Arthropoda, Insecta, Lepidoptera, Pyralidae.
AGAUUAAGAAACACGAUAAGUUAAAGAGAAAUAGUGACAAAUUGCUGGCCUGUUACAAGAAUAUCCAGUUUGGCUCUUUCCCUUUAUUAAAUAAUAUCCUACUACACAUAUAAAGUCUACAUUUCGAAUGAAACUAGGAGGCUAUGCACAUUGAACAUCGUCAAAUCAAGACGGUUUUGAAUAUCAAUUAGGAAACAACUUUUGGAAGAAAAAAAAAUGCUUAAUUUGAAAAUCCACACAAGACUAAUGUUGCCUUGAUUGAGCUGCGUAAGUAGUAGGUAGAACUGCAGUGUGCUGGAAUGAAAAGAAAACCAGCGAAAAAUGAAGAAGAAAAAUCGCACCAUGCACAGGCAAUGGCACUGGAAGAAUUCACGGGUUCUAUUAAAUAUUCCCGUGUUCUCUUAGUGGCAUCACUAGUGAUGGGCGACCCUACAGAUAAUGAUGAAGACGAUGGCAGAGAAGAACAUGAAGACGAUAUCAAUAAGGUUGAAAAUGAAAUUAAGGAAUCAGACGGAGAAAAGAUUUACAAUCUACGUCAUAAAAUUUAUUUUUCUAUUCAAAAUGCAAUCUUUUGGCUAUUAUUUUAAUGAUAUUUUUUUAACGUAUAGGUAACAAUAUAAUUUGUAUAAUUUGC